GCCCGAAUAGCUCAGUGGUAGAGCGUCUGGCUGUUAACCAGAAAGUCGCAGGUUCGAUCCCUGCUUCGGGCG
RNAcentral lists this transfer RNA (72 nucleotides) under Microcaldota archaeon. RNAcentral describes it as "tRNA-Asn". It matches the Rfam family "tRNA". From Rfam's summary of the family: Transfer RNA (tRNA) molecules are approximately 80 nucleotides in length. Their secondary structure includes four short double-helical elements and three loops (D, anti-codon, and T loops). Lineage: Archaea; Nanobdellati; Microcaldota. The record is from RNAcentral.